AUACGGAGGGUGCGAGCGUUGUUCGGAAUUACUGGGCGUAAAGCGCACGUAGGCGGAUUAAAAAGUUAGAGGUGAAAUCCCAGGGCUUAACCCUGGAACUGCCUUUAAAACUAGUAGUCUAGAGUUCGAGAGAGGUGAGUGGAAUUCCAAGUGUAGAGGUGAAAUUCGUAGAUAUUUGGAGGAACACCAGUGGCGAAGGCGGCUCACUGGCUCGAUACUGACGCUGAGGUGCGAAAGCGUGGGGAGCAAACAGGAUUAGAUACCCCAGUAGUCC
Molecule: ribosomal RNA, 274 nt
Filed under: uncultured bacterium
Lineage: Bacteria
Description: partial 16S ribosomal RNA
Rfam family: Bacterial small subunit ribosomal RNA
Source: RNAcentral